This 224-nucleotide ribosomal RNA is filed under the name Pseudachorutes sp. RNAcentral describes it as "partial 18S ribosomal RNA". It matches the Rfam family "Eukaryotic small subunit ribosomal RNA", at positions 1391 to 1620 of the family's 1831-position model. Lineage: Eukaryota; Metazoa; Arthropoda; Collembola; Poduromorpha; Neanuridae. The record is from RNAcentral.
UAUCGGUUCGGCGUAGCUUCUUAGAGGGACGGGCGGCGUUUAGCGCACGAGAAUGAGCAAUAACAGGUCUGUGAUGCCCUUAGAUGUUCUGGGCUGCACGCGCGCUACACUGAAGAAAUCAGCAUGUGUUCCCUACCCGAAAGGGUUGGGAAACCAGUUGAACCUUCUUCGUGAUGGGGAUUGGGGAUUGCAAUUAUUCCCCAUGAACGAGGAAUUCCCAGUAG